RNAcentral lists this long non-coding RNA (501 nucleotides) under Nicotiana benthamiana. RNAcentral's name for it is "long non-coding RNA (NBEN_LNC037905)". The record is from RNAcentral. Lineage: Eukaryota; Viridiplantae; Streptophyta; Magnoliopsida; Solanales; Solanaceae.
AUAGACAUGGCUCCCGAUCUCUUUCUCUCUUUCUCUCCCUCUUAAACUCUAAUUACAUUUCUUCAAAUCUCUCGUCGACAUCAGUUUACAUAGUAUCAGAGCGGUAGAUCAUGAUGAAUUUCGUCAUUCUCUAUCAAUCGAUAUUACCCUCGAGCUGUUCUGGUGGAGUUUUACAUGUGCAUCAAUUUCUCAAUUUUGCUGUCGUUUAUUUUUUUUGGAUUUUUUGCUGCCUACUAAUUAUUCCGGAGAGGAAUGACUGAUUUUUUUGGAUCCGUCACCAUCCACUGGUUCGAAAGUUCUGGUUUUUCUUUUGAAUCUUCUUUAGAGCUAGGGUAUCUAUCAAGAGGACAUAUCUUUCGGUUGCGAAGAAUUUGGGUAACAUCGAUUUUAUGUUUUGCUCGUGUUCAUCUUCAUUGCAUAUAUUGAACUGAGAUAGAGUUAUACAAUUCCUAUUUUGAUUGUUUGAUUUGUGUUGGCAUUAAUUCACAAAAAUGACUGGUA